GCCACUGGCGGCAGGCCUAACACAUGCAAGUCGAGCGGUAGAGAGGUGCUUGCUCCUCUUGACAGCGGCGGACGGGUGAGAAAUGCCUAAGAAUCCGGCCGGGAAUGCGGGAAAACGCUCUGAAACGGACGCCAAUACCUGAUACUUCCAACUGAACAAAUGAGGGGAUUUUCAGGCCUUGUUCUAUCUGAUGAGCCUUCGUCGGAUUAGCUCUUUGGUGGGGUAAUGGGUCACCAAGGCGACGAUCCGUAACUGGUCUGAGAGGAUGAUCAGGCACACUGGAACUACGACACCGUCCACACUCCUACUGGAGGCAGCAGUGGGGAAUAUUGGACAAUGGGCGAAAGCCUGAUCCAGCCAUGCCGCGUGUGAGAAGAAGGUCUUCGGAUUGUUGAGCACUUUAUUUUGGGAGGAAAGCAGUUACUUCAUACCUGACUGUCUUGACGUUACCGACCUAAUAAGCACCGGCUAACUCUGUGCCAACAGCCGCGGCAAUACAGAGGGUGCAUGCGUUUAUCGAAAUCACUGGGCGUUAAGCGCGUCUACGGGGUUCUCUAAAUUGUAUGUGAAAUCCCCGGGCUGAAUCUGGGCACUGUAUUCUGAAUUGUCGAACUUUAGUAUGGUAGAGGGUGGGGUAAUUU
This 641-nucleotide ribosomal RNA is filed under the name bacterium EpR77. RNAcentral describes it as "bacterial SSU rRNA". It matches the Rfam family "Bacterial small subunit ribosomal RNA", at positions 32 to 669 of the family's 1533-position model. The record is from RNAcentral.